UGCCCGGUGCUCGAAGGUUAAUUGAUGGGGUUAGCAUUAGCGAAGCUCUUGAUCGAAGCCCGAGUAAACGGCGGCCGUAACUAUAACGGUCCUAAGGUAGCGAAAUUCCUUGUCGGUUAAAUACCGACCUGCAUGAAUGGCGUAACGAGAUGGGAGCUGUCUCAAAGAGGGAUCCAGUGAAAUUGUAGUGGAGGUGAAAAUUCCUCCUACCCGCGGCAAGACGGAGAGACCCCGUGGACCUUUACUACAGCUUGACACUGCUAUUUGGAUAAGAAUGUGCAGGAUAGGUGGGAGGCUUUGAGUAUAUGACGCCAGUUGUAUAUGAGCCAUUGUUGAGAUACCACUCUUUCUUAUUUGGGUAGCUAACCAGCUUGAGUUAUCCUCAAGUGGGACAAUGUCUGGUGGGUAGUUUGACUGGGGCGGUCGCCUCCCAAAUAAUAACGGAGGCUUACAAAGGUUGGCU
This 463-nucleotide ribosomal RNA is filed under the name Campylobacter jejuni. Its description in RNAcentral is "bacterial LSU rRNA". It matches the Rfam family "Bacterial large subunit ribosomal RNA", at positions 1860 to 2322 of the family's 2925-position model. The record is from RNAcentral. Lineage: Bacteria; Pseudomonadati; Campylobacterota; Epsilonproteobacteria; Campylobacterales; Campylobacteraceae.